CCUACGGGAGGCAGCAGUGGGGAAUAUUGGGCAAUGGGCGCAAGCCUGACCCAGCAACGCCGCGUGAAGGAAGACGGCUUUCGGGUUGUAAACUUCUUUUCUCAGGGACGAAGAAAGUGACGGUACCUGAGGAAUACGCCACGGCUAACUACGUGCCAGCAGCCGCGGGAAUACGUAGGGGGCAAGCGUUAUCCGGAUUUAUGUGGUGUAAAGGGUGGGUAGGCGGGAGCGCAAGUCAGAUGUGAAAUCUCAGGGCUCAACCCGGGGCCUGCAGUUGAAACUGCGUUUCUUGAGUGCUGGAGAGGCAAGCGGAAUUCCGGGUGUAGCGGUGAAAUGCGUAGAUAUACGGAAGAACACCAGUUGCGAAGGCAGCUUGCUGGACAGUAACUGACGCUGAGGCGCGAAAGCGUGGGGAGCGAACAGGAUUAGAUACCCCUGUAGUC
This 443-nucleotide ribosomal RNA is filed under the name uncultured bacterium. RNAcentral describes it as "partial 16S ribosomal RNA". It matches the Rfam family "Bacterial small subunit ribosomal RNA", at positions 338 to 795 of the family's 1533-position model. The record is from RNAcentral.